Molecule: long non-coding RNA, 486 nt
Organism: Pipra filicauda (Wire-tailed manakin)
Lineage: Eukaryota; Metazoa; Chordata; Aves; Passeriformes; Pipridae
Exons: 4
Source: RefSeq, a predicted model, not a curated record
CAGCAGUGUCUGGAUUCAAGUGAUUGCUGCUCAAUUUGCUGCUGUCUGAACACCAAGAUCCUCAUCAGCCCUGUAAAGAGCCAGGAGAGGUGGAUCAGCCAUGAAGAUCCUGUACCUGCUCUUCCCCUUGCUCCUCCUGUUGGUGCAGAAUGUUGAAGGAAUUAAAAAUGCAUGCCAGCUCCUAGGGGGAUACUGCACGUUUUGGAAGUGCAAGUCCGGUACAAGAUUUAUUGGACACUGUUCAGCAUUCACCAUUUGCUGUGAACGUGUGCGGGGUUGAGACCCUGAAAUGUCCCAGCAGGACGUCCCCCUCGCUUCUGGCUCCUGGAACCAUCUCCUGAGGUCCUCUCCCCUCCCUGCCUCUGCCAUGCCCAGCUGCUGGCACAGCAGCAGUGGCAGCUGCUCCUGCUGGGUGCUGCUGGGCUGGAGACAUCUCAUCCCAGCCGUGGGGUCUGUGGGGCAGAGGCUGCUUUUCCCAGCUUGAAU